UACGGAGGGUGCAAGCGUUAUCCGGAAUCACUGGGUUUAAAGGGUGCGUAGGCGGCUAGAUAAGUCAGAGGUGAAAGUUUGUCGCUUAACGAUAGAACUGCCUUUGAUACUGUUAAGCUUGAAAGUAGGUGAGGUUGGCGGAAUGUGACAUGUAGCGGUGAAAUGCAUAGAUAUGUCAUAGAACACCGAUUGCGAAGGCAGCCGCCUAACCUGACUUUGACGGUGAGGCGCCAAAGCGUGGGUAGCGAACAGG
RNAcentral lists this ribosomal RNA (253 nucleotides) under uncultured bacterium. Its description in RNAcentral is "partial 16S ribosomal RNA". It matches the Rfam family "Bacterial small subunit ribosomal RNA", at positions 524 to 776 of the family's 1533-position model. The record is from RNAcentral.